GAUGAAGAACGUAGCGAAAUGCGAUAAGUAAUGUGAAUUGCAGAAUUCAGUGAAUCAUCGAAUCUUUGAACGCACAUUGCGCCCGCCAGUAUUCUGGCGGGCAUGCCUGUCUGAGCGUCAUUUCAACCCUCAUGCCCCUAGGGCGUGGUGUUGGGGAUCGGCCAAAGCCCGCGAGGGACGGCCGGCCCCUAAAUCUAGUGGCGGACCCGUCGUGGCCUCCUCUGCGAAGUAGUGAUAUUCCGCAUCGGAGAGCGAUGAGCCCCCGCCGUUAAACCCCCAACUUUCCAAGGUUGACCUCAGAUCAGGUAGGAAUACCCGCUGAACUUAAGCAUAUCAAUAAGCGGAGGA
This 348-nucleotide unclassified non-coding RNA is filed under the name soil metagenome. Its description in RNAcentral is "partial contains 5.8S ribosomal RNA, internal transcribed spacer 2, and large subunit ribosomal RNA". The stretch from base 1 to 120 matches the Rfam family "5.8S ribosomal RNA", at positions 35 to 154 of the family's 154-position model. The record is from RNAcentral.